RNAcentral lists this ribosomal RNA (502 nucleotides) under Enterobacter sp. RNAcentral's name for it is "bacterial SSU rRNA". It matches the Rfam family "Bacterial small subunit ribosomal RNA", at positions 109 to 607 of the family's 1533-position model. The record is from RNAcentral. Lineage: Bacteria; Pseudomonadati; Pseudomonadota; Gammaproteobacteria; Enterobacterales; Enterobacteriaceae.
AGUAAUGUCUGGGAAACUGCCUGAUGGAGGGGGAUAACUACUGGAAACGGUAGCUAAUACCGCAUAANGUCGCAAGACCAAAGAGGGGGACCUUCGGGCCUCUUGCCAUCGGAUGUGCCCAGAUGGGAUUAGCUAGUAGGUGGGGUAACGGCUCACCUAGGCGACGAUCCCUAGCUGGUCUGAGAGGAUGACCAGCCACACUGGAACUGAGACACGGUCCAGACUCCUACGGGAGGCAGCAGUGGGGAAUAUUGCACAAUGGGCGCAAGCCUGAUGCAGCCAUGCCGCGUGUAUGAAGAAGGCCUUCGGGUUGUAAAGUACUUUCAGCGGGGAGGAAGGCGAUAAGGUUAAUAACCUUGUCGAUUGACGUUACCCGCAGAAGAAGCACCGGCUAACUCCGUGCCAGCAGCCGCGGUAAUACGGAGGGUGCAAGCGUUAAUCGGAAUUACUGGGCGUAAAGCGCACGCAGGCGGUCUGUCAAGUCGGAUGUGAAAUCCCCGGG